This 503-nucleotide ribosomal RNA is filed under the name uncultured bacterium. RNAcentral's name for it is "partial 16S ribosomal RNA". It matches the Rfam family "Bacterial small subunit ribosomal RNA", at positions 30 to 523 of the family's 1533-position model. The record is from RNAcentral.
AUUGAACGCUGGCGGCAGGCUUAACACAUGCAAGUCGAGCGGGGUGAUGGUGCUUGCACUAUCACUUAGCGGCGGACGGGUGAGUAAUGCUUAGGAAUCUGCCUAUUAGUGGGGGACAACAUCUCGAAAGGGAUGCUAAUACCGCAUACGUCCUACGGGAGAAAGCAGGGGAUCACUUGUGACCUUGCGCUAAUAGAUGAGCCUAAGUCGGAUUAGCAAGUUGGUGGGGUAAAGGCCUACCAAGGCGACGAUCUGUAGCGGGUCUGAGUGGAUGAUCCGCCACACUGGGACUGAGACACGGCCCAGACUCCUACGGGAGGCAGCAGUGGGGAAUAUUGGACAAUGGGGGGAACCCUGAUCCAGCCAUGCCGCGUGUGUGAAGAAGGCCUUAUGGUUGUAAAGCACUUUAAGCGAGGAGGAGGCUCUUUUGGUUAAUACCCAAGAUGAGUGGACGUUACUCGCAGAAUAAGCACCGGCUAACUCUGUGCCAGCCGCCGCAGUAA